AUAUAUUUUUUCAGUUGAGACAGGAUCUCACUAUGUUGCCUAGCAUGGACUGGAACUCCUUGGCUCAAGAAAUGUUCUUGCCUCAGCCUCCCAAAUAGCUAGGACUAUACACACAUACUACUACACCUAGUGGAAAAUGAAGCACAGAGAAGUUCAGUGAUGGACCUCAGAUACUACCAGCAGAAAGCAGAAGAGCUAGGAUUUCAACUUAGGAUGUCUGGAUCCACAGUCUGCACUCCUAGCCACUAUGCUACACUGCCUCUAACUAUGAGGAAGCAGGGGCAUUUUUUUUUUUUCUGGUGACUAAAAAGAUAAGAGUUCAGGUACGUGGCUCCUGAUAAUCUAACUUAUACAGCCUGGAAAAAUUGAUAGUUACUAUAUCCAGACUGUCUCAUUCAAUUAACAGUUUCUCAAGUAAUCUUCUAAUUACUGUCAUAUUUUAUCUGUAUCAACUUAGCAAACCAAGUCCAAAACAUUUUAUAUGUGUCUAUCUUUCCUGCUGUUCAUAUUAUUGAGUUAGCCAAAUAAAUUCAUUUUUUUUUCUACUGUUUGUUUCUCACAAAUUAUGACUGGCAUCUGUAUAUCUGUGAAGGUUCUACUGCAUUCCUGUAUUAUCACUAUAUGAUUAUAAGAGAUCACAGAGUGCAUUGAUGAAGGCCAUGUUGAGACAUGAUGAAACAGGGUCCAUUGUGACUGGGUGAAACUGUCUUCAAUUUCCUGGUCUAUAAAGCAGAGGUGAGAACAACUGACUCAUAGCAUUGCGGUGAAUAUUAGAUUAAAUAAGAU
Molecule: long non-coding RNA, 786 nt
Filed under: Pan troglodytes (chimpanzee)
Lineage: Eukaryota; Metazoa; Chordata; Mammalia; Primates; Hominidae
Description: lincRNA
Source: RNAcentral